Molecule: ribosomal RNA, 491 nt
Filed under: uncultured bacterium
Lineage: Bacteria
Description: partial 16S ribosomal RNA
Rfam family: Bacterial small subunit ribosomal RNA
Source: RNAcentral
GAUGAACGCUCGCUACAGGCUUAACACAUGCAAGUCGCGGGGCAGCAUGGGGGUUGCUUGCCACCCCUGAUGGCGACCGGCGCACGGGUGAGUAACGCGUAUCCAACCUGCCCUUCACCACGGGAUAACCCGGCGAAAGUCGGACUAAUACCGUAUGUUGUCCAUUGACGGCAUCCGAUUUGGACGAAAGGCUUGGCGGUGAGAGGGUGGGGAUGCGUCCGAUUAGCUUGACGGCGGGGUAACGGCCCACCGUGGCUACGAUCGGUAGGGGUUCUGAGAGGAAGGUCCCCCACACUGGAACUGAGACACGGUCCAGACUCCUACGGGAGGCAGCAGUGAGGAAUAUUGGUCAAUGGGCGUAAGCCUGAACCAGCCAAGUAGCGUGCAGGAUGACGGCCCUAUGGGUUGUAAACUGCUUUUAUGCGGGGAUAAAGUGGCCCACGUGUGGGCUUUUGCAGGUACCGCAUGAAUAAGGACCGGCUAAUUCCGUG